AUUGAAUCCUCAACCUUGGUGUAAUAGGACAAUGCUCUAACCCCGUGGUUGGCAAACUGCGGCUCGCGAGCCACAUGCGGCUCUUUGGCCCCUUGAGUGAGGCUCUUCCAAGCCCUAGGAGUCCCCUAAUUACGUUAAUAACAAUGUACCUACCUAUAUAGUUUAAGUUUAAAAAAUUUGGCUCUCCAAAGAAAUUUCAAUCGUUGUACUGUUGAUAUUUGGCUCUGUUGACUAAUGAGUUUGCCGACCACUGCUCUAACCAACAAAGCUAUCUGGCCAGGGUGGUGUUUUAUAAUUUUAAUGCUGUUGUAAAUGGGAUAGUUUUCUUAAUAUCUUCUUCUGAUCAUUAUUUUAGUAUAUAGAAUUCUGACCAGAUUUCUGCAUAUUUAUUCUGUGCCCUACAACUUUACUGAAGUCAUUUAUUAGUUCUAACUGGGGCCCAGUGCACGAAUUCGUGCACCUUGAAAGGAACUGUGGGCUGCGAGGCUGCGGUGGGCACAGGGGUGGGUCUCAGUCCAUCCUCCGAGCCCCCGGUGCCCACGACCCCCCAGUGCCCCACGACCUCCCGGUGCCCCACCAGCCCCCGGCCACCCGCCACCCUGCCCGCUCCUCUCGUGGCGCCGGCUGUGGGCCGCUGAGUGGGCAGGUCCCGUGUAAGUUGUUUCCUGUGGCUCCUGGGCCGUCCCAGCUGCACGCUCCGUGCACGGACUCCACUGGUCACAGGAAGCGGGGAGCGGUGUGAUGUGCCUGAGCGGCCUAAUCCGAACUCGUCUCCCGCCCGCAAACCCGGCUCCUCCCGGCUUGGCCGUGGGGUACCGGCUGCCCUUAUGCGCUUUAGGCUUGUUGGGGGACGUGCUGAUCAUCUGUGUGAUUUGCUGAGAUCACGAACCCGAGCGUUUGGUCGCUGGGGAGCCUGCAGCCUGCGGCCUUGUUGGUGGGAGGACUCCUGGCUCCCCGUGCACCCUGCCCCCUUGCAGCGGUCUAGCCAGGGAAUUUGCAAUGCCUGAAGGGACAGGCAAGUGAGCAAGUAAUUACAACAGCAUAAAGGCUGCGUCUGUAGCAGAUAAAAGGGUAUGGGGGGGGGAAGGGGGCAAUCGGUGGGAGAAACACAGGACUCCCUGAGGUGGCGACUAAGGCUCUAAGGAAAUGAUACCUGGGCUGAAACCGGGGGGUGAAGAGUGAUUCCAAUUGUUCAACAUCCCAGGUCAACUCAGGAUUUAAAGUGACUCUUAAAUUAAGACUUACAAGAGUAUAGCAGGGUUAUUUAUUACAGACAAAAAUCCAAAAGCGAUUCAGGGACCCAUCAACAGGAAAAUGGAUAAACGAACAAAAAGGCACAUUUCUGCAAUGAAAUACUACACAAUUGAGAAAAAAUUAUAUGCAACAUUGAUGAAUAUCUAAAACAUGUGUCCUACAUAAGGGAUGGUUCUUUUUCUGGCUUCAUUAAGUAUGACUUCAUUAAGAUAAAAAAAUCUUCUCUCCAAAGACACUAUCAAGAGAAAGAAAAGACAGGCAGAGACUGGGAAGAAAUAAUUGCAAAACGCGUAUCUGAUGAAGAACUUGUAUCCAAAAUGUUCGAAGAACUCAAAACUCAUUAAAAUAUAGGCAAAGAGUCCCACAAAUGCCUCACCAGGGAAGAUACGCAGAUGGCAAAUAGCAUAUGAAAAGGUGCUCAAUAUCCCAUGUCACCAGGGAACUGCAAAGUAAAACCAUGAGAUACCACUGCUCGCUGUCAGUGGCUGAAGUUCAACACUGCAGCUCCCAGGGCUGAGGGAGAGGGGGCCGCAGGGACUUCCAUUUCAGAGGGUGCGGCCACUUGGGAAGACAGCCGGGCGGUUUCUUAAAAGCUGAACAUCCUGCACCGCGAUCCGGCGGCCACGAUCCUUGGUAGUCACCCCAGCGAGUUGAAAACAUGUCCACACACAAACCUGCACACGGAUGUUUAGAGGAGCUUUAGUCACAGUUGCCAAGAUGUGGAGGCAACAAAGGUUUCCAUAAGAAUCUAAGAAACACACAAGAUGGCGCUAUAACUCCAAGAAAGCACAGGAAUGUAUGUAUGUGAGACACACCUCUUUCUCUCCCUCUCUCUCUCUCUCUCUCUCUCUCUCUCUCUCACACACACACACACACACACACACACACUCAUCCCAGGUUCACCUGACAGCCCUCAGCCUUUCAAGACAAUUUAUUCUUCUCACUACCUUCUUGUUGUUUUUUGUUGUUAAUAAAAGUCAAAAUGGUAACUAGUU
This is a long non-coding RNA of Myotis lucifugus (little brown bat), 2249 nucleotides long. RefSeq lists it as uncharacterized. NCBI's taxonomy places the organism in Eukaryota, Metazoa, Chordata, Mammalia, Chiroptera, Vespertilionidae. The record is from RefSeq and is a predicted model, not a curated record. The transcript is spliced from 2 exons.